GACGAACGCUGGCGGCGUGCUUAACACAUGCAAGUCGAACGGUGAAGCGCCUUCCUUUUUGGUGGGUGUGGAUGAGUGGCGAACGGGUGAGUAACACGUGAGUAACCUGCCCCCUUCUUCUGGAUAACCGCAUGAAAGUGUGGCUAAUACGGGAUAUUCUGGGUCUGUCGCAUGAUGGGUCUGGGAAAGAUAUUGUUUCGGUGGGGGAUGGGCUCGCGGCCUAUCAGCUUGUUGGUGGGGUGAUGGCCUACCAAGGCGGUGACGGGUAGCCGGCCUGAGAGGGUGGGCGGUCACACUGGGACUGAGACACGGCCCAGACUCCUACGGGAGGCAGCAGUGGGGAAUAUUGCACAAUGGGCGCAAGCCUGAUGCAGCGACGCCGCGUGAGGGAUGGAGGCCUUCGUGUUGUGAACCUCUUUCGCCAGUGAAGCAGGCCUGCCUCGUUUGUGGGUGGGUUGACGGUAGCUGGAUAAGAAGCGCCGGCUAACUACGUG
RNAcentral lists this ribosomal RNA (494 nucleotides) under uncultured bacterium. RNAcentral's name for it is "partial 16S ribosomal RNA". It matches the Rfam family "Bacterial small subunit ribosomal RNA", at positions 28 to 507 of the family's 1533-position model. The record is from RNAcentral.